UGCUAGGCAACAUAAAGGAAUGAGGUCCUACCUCAGCUCAUCUUUCAAAAAAAAAAAAAUGAAAAUAUGUAUUCUUUUAUCUUAAUGCAAACUUUAAAUCUAGGGGUCCGGUGCACUUUAUUGGCUUCCAGUUUGUAAUCCCUUACAUCCUCCCACGUGACUCCAAAGUUGAGUUAGAUAAGAAUAUGAAACCUGGAAGAGGACCCAAAGGAAGGUAGGUGUCUGAGAGCUCUUUCACAUUUCAGAGCUCUCAUUAAAAAGUAAAGGCAUUUUUUCAGGUGACUUGGAACAGGAAUUUCUGCUGCUUAAAAUUCCUCUUCCUAAACUUUCUGUUGCAAGUAACAAUAGAUCACCUUCACUAAGCACUCAUUAUUGCUAAACACAGCUCAAAGUGCUUUACCUAUGUUAACUCAUUUUGCAAACGAAGAAACUGAAGCUCAAAGAAAUUAAAAGUAUCUUGUCCAAGGACCGCCCCGCCUCUCCAGCCAACUGUGGCACAGCACCCAUCCAAACCCAGGCAGUGUCCUAGUUCCAUAGGCUGAUGAGAACAAAACUUCCAGCACUUUCACUCCCUGUGAAUGACCUCAGAGCUCACUGCAGAUAGUGAGGGAAGAGGUGACCAAGUUCAAAUAUAGUCAUAGCUCAGGUUUGGAUGAAUCUUUCACUCACCUAGUUAGGCUUGUCGGCCAUACAGGAAAGAUUAUCCCUCUGACUAGGUGUCCACUAUCCACAGGGCUGAAUGGGGAAAGCAGCAAGGGUAGAGCUAUUAAAUAACUUGGUCAAAUCCGCACAGCUGAUCAUUGGCAGGAAUAGUCAGCAUUAUCCAUUCUCCCAGCCAACAAACAUCCUUUGAGCCCGGUUAUACCUAGCAACAUCUUUGCAGUCAAGCCCCAGAUUUAUAAUACAGGUUUCAAAUAUAACUGUUAAUUUGACCAGAUUAAAUUUUAAAUACAUGUUGUAGGGGGACAGUAGUUUCUGUGUGUGUGUGUGUGUGUGUAUUUGUGUUUUUGUUUGAAUAGUUUGAAUAGAACCCAGGACUUCACAAAUGCUAGACAAGCACUUUGCCACUUAGCUUUAUCCCCAGGCCCUCACCUUUAGUCUUAUAUGCUCAGGUGUUCAUUUCUUCCACAGCAGAGAGCUGGAAGAAGAAUGGAGACUGCUGGGAGAAAGUGAUUUCUGGUUGCAAAAGAUAAGAAGGGGGAUUCACUUAGGAACUCAAGACCACAAGAGAAAGUAGACACAUGAUCUCUGCUCAGGUUUUGCCAAAAGAAACUAUGCUCUUUUUAUUCUCCUAUGUCCUUUUAAGUGAAAUAAAAGACAGUGGGUCAACCCCACUUUUCAUCAUACACAAAUGUAAAUUUAAAGGGUGUUAAAGAUAUAAUUGUGAAAAGUUUGCUUGGAUUUUUUUCAAAGAAUAAAAGAACAUUUUUAUUACCUUAGCCUAUGAAUAAAUAUUAUAAAUUAGAAAUUAUAAGAAGAUGUAAAGGAACAUGAUAAAUUUGACCACAAUGGAAUUUAAAUGUUUAGUUUAUUGGGAGAUAAUAUUUAAAACUUGAAAAGGCAAGCCAUAGACUAGAAGAUAUUUGCAAAUGUCUAGUUUCUCAGCUACCUAAGAACUUUUAUGAUAAAUG
This 1631-nucleotide long non-coding RNA is filed under the name Marmota monax (woodchuck). Lineage: Eukaryota; Metazoa; Chordata; Mammalia; Rodentia; Sciuridae. The record is from RNAcentral.